This 468-nucleotide ribosomal RNA is filed under the name uncultured bacterium. RNAcentral describes it as "partial 16S ribosomal RNA". It matches the Rfam family "Bacterial small subunit ribosomal RNA", at positions 28 to 507 of the family's 1533-position model. The record is from RNAcentral.
GACGAACGCUGGCGGCGUGCUUAACACAUGCAAGUCGAACGGAAAGGCCCUGCUUUUGUGGGGUGCUCGAGUGGCGAACGGGUGAGUAACACGUGAGUAACCUGCCCUUGACUUUGGUAUAACUUCAGGAAACUGGGGCUAAUACCGGAUAGGAGCUCCUGCUGCAUGGUGGGGGUUGGAAAGUUUCGGCGGUUGGGGAUGGACUCGCGGCUUAUCAGCUUGUUGGUGGGGUAGUGGCUUACCAAGGCUUUGACGGGUAGCCGGCCUGAGAGGGUGACCGGCCACAAGAGGACUGAGAUACGGACCAGACUGCUACGGGAGGCAGCAGUGGGGAAUAUUGCACAAUGGGCGGGAGCCUGAUGCAGAAACGCCGCGUGCGGGAUGACGGCCUGCGGGUUGUAAACAGCUGUAGCCUGAGACGAAGCGUGAGUGACGGUAAUGAGUAAAGAAGCACCGGCUAACUACGUG